Equus quagga is the source of this 1050-nucleotide long non-coding RNA. RefSeq lists it as uncharacterized. The record is from RefSeq and is a predicted model, not a curated record. Lineage: Eukaryota; Metazoa; Chordata; Mammalia; Perissodactyla; Equidae. The transcript is spliced from 3 exons.
AGGGGAUGCAAAUCAGUCAAACCCAGAGGCAGCUAAGGGGGGCACUGAGCAAGGCUGAGAAGCAGGAGAAGGAGAGAAAAGCCUUUCCUGGGAACCAGGCAGGAGAAGGCGAGAUGCACGCACACAUCCACGCCGGGCUGACUCCACAGAAAACCAGCUCCCAUCAACAUGUCAGGACUGUCAGAGUUUUCUGGAAGGUUUUGUUCUGACUGGGGGUUUCUUGACCUGGGGUCCACGGACACAGAAUGCCAUGGUUCGGAGAAUACCUGGGGACUUGGAAGGGAAGGAAAACUCCCAAGAAACGAUUCUACAAAGGGGAGUGGGUGUGGAAUAAGGAGGCGCUCUGAAUUUAUCUCGUUUGUCAUCCCCAACCUUCAAGACAAACUCUGCUGACAUCCCCCUCGCAUCCGCUGGCACUGCAGGGAGUCAGAGGGUGGGCAUCCCAGGUGUCCUCAAGCGCUGCUGCACGUCAGAAACACGUGGAGCCUCAGGAAUGCUCACGCCCACGUCCAGCCCAGGUUCAAACUCCCUGCGAGGUUCGCAAGCACAGCCCAAGGGACGUGCAGACUGAGAACCACCGGGCUCGACUCAGGCCUGGUGAAGGCGUGGUGGAGAGCAAGGACCUCCUCACGCCGGCAGAAAGGCGGGAGCGGACUCAGCAAAGGAACCAGGGAGAAAGUUAAAUCUUAGGGGCCCAAUGUAGCUGGCACUCCACAUAAUAUAAAAGUCACCAUUUUAAAGUGGCAAUUCAGCGGUUUUCAGUAUCGUUGACAUUGUGGUUGUGCAACCAUCACCACUAUCUAAUCCCAGAACAUUUCCAUCACUCAAAGAGAAACUCCAUUAAGCAGUGACCUCCCCAUCCCUGUCUCCCUGCAACCCCUGACAACAACAAUCCACUUUCCGUCUCUAUGAAUUUGCCUAUUCUGCACACUUCAUAUAAAUGAAAUCAUACAAUAUGUGACCUGCUGUGUCCGGCUUAUUUCACUGAGCAGGAUGUUUUCAAGAUGCAUCCAUGUUGCCGCAUGUGUCAGAAUUUCAUUUCUUUUUAAG